This 515-nucleotide ribosomal RNA is filed under the name uncultured bacterium. RNAcentral's name for it is "partial 16S ribosomal RNA". It matches the Rfam family "Bacterial small subunit ribosomal RNA", at positions 28 to 523 of the family's 1533-position model. The record is from RNAcentral.
GAUGAACGCUGGCGGCGUGCCUAAUACAUGCAAGUCGAGCGAAUGGAUUAAGAGCUUGCUCUUAUGAAGUUAGCGGCGGACGGGUGAGCAACACGUGGGUAACCUGCCCAUAAGACUGGGAUAACUCCGGGAAACCGGGGCUAAUACCGGAUAACAUUUUGAACCGCAUGGUUCGAAAUUGAAAGGCGGCUUCGGCUGUCACUUAUGGAUGGAACCGCGUCGCAUUAGCUAGUUGGUGAGGUAACAGAUCACCAAGGCAACGAUGCGUAGCCGACCUGAGAGGGUGAUCGGCCACACUGGGACUGAGACACGGCCCAGACUCCUAUGGGAGGCAGCAGUAGGGAAUCUUCCGCAAUGGACGAAAGUCUGACGGAGCAACGCCGCGUGAGUGAUGAAGGCUUUCGGGUCGUAAAACUCUGUUGUUAGGGAAGAACAAGUGCUAGUUGAAUAAGCUGGCACCUUGACGGUACCUAACCAGAAAGCCACGGCUAACUACGUGCCAGCCGCCGCAGUAA